Molecule: ribosomal RNA, 1352 nt
Filed under: uncultured bacterium
Lineage: Bacteria
Description: bacterial SSU rRNA
Rfam family: Bacterial small subunit ribosomal RNA
Source: RNAcentral
GAUGAACGCUAGCGACAGGCUUAACACAUGCAAGUCGAGGGGCAGCGGGGUAGUGCUUGCACUACUGCCGGCGACCGGCGCACGGGUGAGUAACACGUAUGGAACCUGCCCGCAGCAGGGGGAUAAGCGGAAGAAAUUCCGUCUAAUACCGCGUAAGAACGUUGGGAGGCAUCUCCCGAUGUUUAAAGAUUUAUCGGCUGCGGAUGGCCAUGCGGCGCAUUAGCUAGUCGGCAGGGUAACGGCCCACCGAGGCGACGAUGCGUAGGGGUUCUGAGAGGAAGGUCCCCCACACUGGUACUGAGACACGGACCAGACUCCUACGGGAGGCAGCAGUGAGGAAUAUUGGUCAAUGGCCGAGAGGCUGAACCAGCCAAGUCGCGUGAGGGAAGACGGCCCUACGGGUUGUAAACCUCUUUUGUCGGGGAGCAAAGCGAACCACGUGUGGUUCAUUGAGAGUACCCGAAGAAAAAGCAUCGGCUAACUCCGUGCCAGCAGCCGCGGUAAUACGGAGGAUGCGAGCGUUAUCCGGAUUUAUUGGGUUUAAAGGGUGCGCAGGCGGAGGUGCAAGUCAGCGGUCAAAUUGCGGGGCUCAACCCCCGUACUGCCGUUGAAACUGCAUCCCUUGAGUGCGCGAAAAAUAUGCGGAAUGCUUGGUGUAACGGUGAAAUGCAUAAAUAUCACGCGAAACUCCGAUUGCGAAGGCAGCAUACCGGCGCGCAACUGACGUUCAUGCACGAAAGCGUGGGUAUCGAACAGGAUUAGAUUACCCUGGUAGUCCACGCAGUAAACGAUGAACACUAACUGUUCGGCCAGAAUGAUGGCUGAGUGGUACAGCGAAAGCGUUAAGUGUUCCACCUGGGGAGUACGCCGGCAACGGUGAAACUCAAAGGAAUUGACGGGGGCCCGCACAAGCGGAGGAACAUGUGGUUUAAUUCGAUGAUACGCGAGGAACCUUACCCGGGCUCAAACGACACAGGAAUACUUUUGAAAGGAGGUAGCCCUACGGGGUCUGUGUCGAGGUGCUGCAUGGUUGUCGUCAGCUCGUGCCGUGAGGUGUCGGCUUAAGUGCCAUAACGAGCGCAACCCCUAUCGCCAGUUACCAUCAAGUAAAGUUGGGGACUCUGGCGAGACUGCCGGCGCAAGCUGAGAGGAAGGCGGGGAUGACGUCAAAUCAGCACGGCCCUUACGUCCGGGGCGACACACGUGUUACAAUGGCAGGUACAGAGAGAAGCCAGGUGGUGACACCGAGCGGAACUCGAAAGCCUGUCUCAGUUCGGAUCGGAGUCUGCAACCCGACUCCGUGAAGCUGGAUUCGCUAGUAAUCGCGCAUCAGCCAUGGCGCGGUGAAUACG